RNAcentral lists this ribosomal RNA (253 nucleotides) under uncultured bacterium. RNAcentral describes it as "partial 16S ribosomal RNA". It matches the Rfam family "Bacterial small subunit ribosomal RNA", at positions 524 to 776 of the family's 1533-position model. The record is from RNAcentral.
UACGUAGGGCGCAAGCGUUGUCCGGAAUUAUUGGGCGUAAAGAGCUCGUAGGCGGUCUGUUACGUCCGCUGUGAAAACCCAGGGCUUAACCCUGGGCUUGCAAUGGAUACGGGCAGACUAGAGGCAGGUAGGGGAGAAUGGAAUUCCCGGUGUAGCGGUGAAAUGCGCAGAUAUCGGGAGGAACACCGGUGGCGAAGGCGGUUCUCUGGGCCUGACCUGACGCUGAGGAGCGAAAGCGUGGGGAGCGAACAGG